Molecule: ribosomal RNA, 483 nt
Filed under: uncultured bacterium
Lineage: Bacteria
Description: partial 16S ribosomal RNA
Rfam family: Bacterial small subunit ribosomal RNA
Source: RNAcentral
AUUGAACGCUGGCGGCAGGCCUAACACAUGCAAGUCGAGCGGAUGAAGGGAGCUUGCUCCUGGAUUCAGCGGCGGACGGGUGAGUAAUGCCUAGGAAUCUGCCUGGUAGUGGGGAUAACGUCCGGAAACGGGCGCUAAUACCGCAUACGUCCUGAGGGAGGAAGUGGGGGAUCUUCGGACCUCACGCUAUCAGGUGAGCCUAGGUCGGAUUAGCUAGUUGGUGGGGUAAAGGCCUACCAAGGCGACGAUCCGUAACUGGUCUGAGAGGAUGAUCAGUCACACUGGAACUGAGACACGGUCCAGACUCCUACGGGAGGCAGCAGUGGGGAAUAUUGGACAAUGGGCGAAAGCCUGAUCCAGCCAUGCCGCGUGUGUGAAGAAGGUCUUCGGAUUGUAAAGCACUUUAAGUUGGGAGGAAGGGCAGUAAGUUAAUACCUUGCUGUUUUGACGUUACCAACAGAAUAAGCACCGGCUAACUUCGUG